Molecule: non-coding RNA, 28 nt
Filed under: Homo sapiens (human)
Lineage: Eukaryota; Metazoa; Chordata; Mammalia; Primates; Hominidae
Source: RNAcentral
CCAGACGAUCCAGGCGUGUGCUAGAUGG